Molecule: long non-coding RNA, 217 nt
Organism: Oncorhynchus keta (chum salmon)
Lineage: Eukaryota; Metazoa; Chordata; Actinopteri; Salmoniformes; Salmonidae
Exons: 2
Source: RefSeq, a predicted model, not a curated record
GGCCAAAAAUAGCUUCAUUUUCAUCAGAUGACAACAGAAGUGUAAUGAUGUUUGUCUGACAGCCACAAAAGUAAAUGAACCUACAAUGAAAAGCAAGGUAUUUUUUUUCAAAAACGAUGCAUGGCCAACAUUUCUAAUGUUUAGGCCUACCAUAGGAAGAAUGUAGGCAGCUACAUUUCCUAAUGUUUUGCUUUUAACAGGAGAAAAAUAGUCUGGC